GGAAGCGUGCCUGAGAAAGGACUACCUUGAUAGAGUAGAUACGGAGCAUAAAACUCCCGCCUCCC
RNAcentral lists this transfer RNA (65 nucleotides) under Plagiopholis styani. RNAcentral's name for it is "tRNA-Ile". The record is from RNAcentral. Lineage: Eukaryota; Metazoa; Chordata; Lepidosauria; Squamata; Colubridae.